Cervus elaphus (red deer) is the source of this 73-nucleotide non-coding RNA. Lineage: Eukaryota; Metazoa; Chordata; Mammalia; Artiodactyla; Cervidae. The record is from the annotation of a RefSeq genome assembly.
UUCCUGGUGGUCCAGUGGUUAAGACUCUGCACUUCCGAUGCAGAGAGCAUAGGUUCGAUCCCUAGUCAGGAAA